Molecule: ribosomal RNA, 440 nt
Filed under: uncultured bacterium
Lineage: Bacteria
Description: bacterial SSU rRNA
Rfam family: Bacterial small subunit ribosomal RNA
Source: RNAcentral
AUUGAACGCUGGCGGCAUGCCUUACACAUGCAAGUCGAACGGCAGCACGGGAGCAAUCCUGGUGGCGAGUGGCGAACGGGUGAGUAAUAUAUCGGAACGUGCCCAGUCGUGGGGAUAACGUAGCGAAAGCUACGCUAAUACCGCAUACGAUCUAUGGAUGAAAGCGGGGGAUCGCAAGACCUCGCGCGAUUGGAGCGGCCGAUAUCAGAUUAGGUAGUUGGUGAGGUAAAGGCUCACCAAGCCGACGAUCUGUAGCUGGUCUGAGAGGACGACCAGCCACACUGGGACUGAGACACGGCCCAGACUCCUACGGGAGGCAGCAGUGGGGAAUUUUUGGGACAAUGGGCGCAAGCCUGAUCCAGCAAUGCCGCGUGCAGGAUGAAGGCCUCGGUUGUAACUAGCUUUGUUACGGUAACCGGAAACGGUACGGAGACGUCUAA